Pieris rapae (cabbage white) is the source of this 547-nucleotide long non-coding RNA. RefSeq lists it as uncharacterized. The transcript is spliced from 2 exons. The record is from RefSeq and is a predicted model, not a curated record. NCBI's taxonomy places the organism in Eukaryota, Metazoa, Arthropoda, Insecta, Lepidoptera, Pieridae.
CAGUGGCAGAAACUAUUUCGAUAACCCAACAAAGAACAUUUAAAAUCAGCUUCCGUUGUAGCUAUUUAGACAACCUCGCCGUUUUAAAAAUUCUGCUAACUGUACGGAUCGGUAAAUUAACUUAAAAAAUGUUUUAGACUAUAACUUACUUCAUUCGUCAAACCCAUUUGAACCAAACAUAUUGUUUGGUUCAGUGGGAUAUGUACACAAAAUGGCGGAAGACAGAACCAAGGCCCUGACUGAACUCUUAACCUCGUUGAGAGAACUCGUGCGUUGGUAAGCUGCAGUGGUCAAGGACCUCGAAACAUUAAGUUUUCGAAGUUGGGUGCAUUUGUGAUGGUGAAAGACCCAUAAGGGAUGAGUACCACCGGAAGGCGAUUCCAUACUUCGCUAGUUCGUGAAAGAAAGUGCCGUGUGAAACCGACUGUGGAAUACUUCCAGCCUUCAAGGCGAUGCUGAUGAAAUUUUAAUUGAUAUAUUAUUUCGUAAUGUUGCAGCUGUGUAUUAAUGCAUUUAAGGUUACAUAUUCAAAACAAACAGUGUAAUA